GCACUGGUGGUCCAGCGGCGACGACUCCGCUCUCGUAAAGCGGCAACGUGGGUUCGACUCCCACCCGGUGCC
This 72-nucleotide transfer RNA is filed under the name Planctomycetaceae bacterium. RNAcentral's name for it is "tRNA-Thr". It matches the Rfam family "tRNA". Rfam says of the family: Transfer RNA (tRNA) molecules are approximately 80 nucleotides in length. Their secondary structure includes four short double-helical elements and three loops (D, anti-codon, and T loops). Lineage: Bacteria; Pseudomonadati; Planctomycetota; Planctomycetia; Planctomycetales; Planctomycetaceae. The record is from RNAcentral.